Oryza meridionalis is the source of this 191-nucleotide non-coding RNA. Lineage: Eukaryota; Viridiplantae; Streptophyta; Magnoliopsida; Poales; Poaceae. The record is from Rfam.
AACAGCCGAAUUCUUCGGUUCUUAUGUCCAACGUUUGACUAUCCGUCUUAUAUAAAUUUUAUGAUUAGUAUUUUUAUUAUUAUUAGAAGAUAAAAUAUGAAUAAUACUUUAUACAUGACUUAUUUUUUUAAUUUUUUUAAAUAAGAUGAACGGUCAAACGUUAGACUCGGAAACCCAAGGAUUAAGUUUUU